Crotalus tigris (Tiger rattlesnake) is the source of this 270-nucleotide long non-coding RNA. RefSeq lists it as uncharacterized. Lineage: Eukaryota; Metazoa; Chordata; Lepidosauria; Squamata; Viperidae. The transcript has 2 exons. The record is from RefSeq and is a predicted model, not a curated record.
AGUAAAGAAAGGCAUCAUGUUGCAUGGAUGACAUUGAUUAAGAAGAAGGAGUGUGAUGUUCUGUAACCAUCAGUCCAUGCCUGACCAAGUUUCCCAUGAGAUUAAUUUUACAGAGUUUUCAGAAUGAAGUUGUCCUGGAAUCACGCAUGGUUCUGCCACUCCUUCUCCUACAGUUGGAAAGAGAGACAAAAAAGGACAAUCAGCAACAAGAUUGAUGGACUUGAUUUACUACAGCAAGGGGUGCAACACUGAAAGAUUUGAAAUGCCAGG